CCUUGGUGCAUCGCAGCUCAUCUGGGGGAGGAGGAGAGAUGGGAAGAGGGUUAGACCCAAAUAGGCGCAGAUGAUUUCUGCAGACAGAGCAGAUGGGCACUGC
Long non-coding RNA from Nanorana parkeri, 103 nucleotides. RefSeq lists it as uncharacterized. The record is from RefSeq and is a predicted model, not a curated record. The transcript has 3 exons. NCBI's taxonomy places the organism in Eukaryota, Metazoa, Chordata, Amphibia, Anura, Dicroglossidae.